RNAcentral lists this ribosomal RNA (496 nucleotides) under Ligia cinerascens. RNAcentral describes it as "partial 12S ribosomal RNA". The record is from RNAcentral. Lineage: Eukaryota; Metazoa; Arthropoda; Malacostraca; Isopoda; Ligiidae.
CUAGGGCAGGUAAUCGCCAUUAAGCAACGAGCAAAGGUGUAAAUGUAUUAGCACUGGGUAAAAUUUAUACCUAAAUAUGUUUAGUUAAAUAGCUCCUCCUAACCUUGAGAAAUAAACAAGGAUUAGAUACCCUUCUAUACUCAAGACCCUUCAGGCAGGGUAGUAACUAGCUAUGUUCUUCAAACCCAAAGGAUUUGGCGGUUUCUUAUCUAAUUAGAGGAACCUGUACAGUAAUCGAAGUUACACGAUCAAUCUUACCAGAGGGAAGCUUGUAUACCGUCGUCUAGAUAGUCCCAGAAGGGCCUUUCGCUAUGGGUUACAAUAAUGGCAGAUCAAGGUGCAGCUUACUCUGGUUGGUAUGGGUUACAAUCUAGAUAAAGCUGGAUGGCUAGUUUAUAAACAGCUUAAAAUAGGAUUUAACAGUAAUAUAGUUUAGCAAGAGUAUAUAAAGAUGCUAUGAGAUACGUACAUAUCGCCCGUCACUCUCACAUUAAAU